GAUGAACGCUAGCGGGAGGCCUAACACAUGCAAGCCGAGCGGUAGAGUUUCUUCGGAAACUUGAGAGCGGCGCACGGGUGCGUAACACGUGUGCAACCUACCUUUAUCUGGGGGAUAGCCUUUCGAAAGGAGGAUUAAUACCCCAUAAUAUAAUGAUUGGCAUCAAUUAUUAUUGAAAACUCCGGUGGAUAGAGAUGGGCACGCGCAAGAUUAGAUAGUUGGUGAGGUAACGGCUCACCAAGUCAAUGAUCUUUAGGGGUCCUGAGAGGGAGAUCCCCCACACUGGUACUGAGACACGGACCAGACUCCUACGGGAGGCAGCAGUGAGGAAUAUUGGACAAUGGGUGGGAGCCUGAUCCAGCCAUCCCGCGUGAAGGAUGACGGUCCUAUGGAUUGUAAACUUCUUUUGUACAGGGAUAAACCUACCCUCGUGAGGGUAGCUGAAGGUACUGUACGAAUAAGCACCGGCUAACUCCGUG
This 479-nucleotide ribosomal RNA is filed under the name uncultured bacterium. RNAcentral describes it as "partial 16S ribosomal RNA". It matches the Rfam family "Bacterial small subunit ribosomal RNA", at positions 28 to 507 of the family's 1533-position model. The record is from RNAcentral.